UAAGCAUAUCAAUAAGCGGAGGAAAAGAAACCAACAGGGAUUGCCUCAGUAACGGCGAGUGAAGCGGCAACAGCCCAGAUUUGAAAUCUGGCCUUCUGGCCCGAGUUGUAAUCUGUAGAUGAGUCUUUGGGUUACGUGCCGUCCAAGUCCCCUGGAAUGGGGCGCCAUAGAGGGUGAGAGCCCCGUACCGACGUGCGCCGCGCCUGUUUAAAGCUCAUUCGAAGAGUCGAGUAGUUUGGAAAUGCUGCUCUAAUUGUGGGGUAAAUCUCCCAUAAGGCUAAAUAUUGGCCAGAGACCGAUAGCGCACAAGUAGCGUGAGCGAAAGAUGAAAAGAGCCUUGAAUAAGGGCGUCAAAAAGUAUGUGAAAUUGUUAUGGGGGAAGCGCUUAGUGCCAGACGUGGUGGCGGUUGGUUACCCGGUGUUCCUCACCGGCGCACUCUUCCGUCGCCAGGCCAGCAUCGGUUCGGCUUGGGGCUCAAUGCUGCAGGGAACGUGGCUCUUCGGAGUGUUAUAGCCUUGUAGCGACGUCCCGGACCGGACCGAGGUUCGCGCAUCUGCUCGGAUGCUGGCGUAAUGGCCCUCAGCGACCCGUCUUGAAACACGGACCAAGGAGUUGACCUAGCACGCGAGUGUUUGGGUGUCAAGCCCUCACGCGCAGUGAAAGCGAACGCAGGUGGGAGCCUCGGCGCACCAUCGACCGAUCCUGAAGUUUACGGAUGGAUUUGAGUAGGAGCGUGUUGGGUCUGACCCGAAAGAAGGUGAACUAUGCAUGAAUAGGGUGAAGCCAGAGGAAACUCUGGUGGAGGCUCGCAGCGGUUCUGACGUGCAAAUCGAUCGUCAAAUUUGUGCAUGGGGGCGAAAGACCAAUCGAACCUUCUAGUAGCUGGUUCCUG
Molecule: ribosomal RNA, 893 nt
Filed under: Dematipyriforma aquilariae
Lineage: Eukaryota; Fungi; Ascomycota; Sordariomycetes; Savoryellales; Savoryellaceae
Description: partial large subunit ribosomal RNA
Rfam family: Eukaryotic large subunit ribosomal RNA
Source: RNAcentral